GUGCUUCCUUCACAGCACAUAUACUAAAAUUGGAAUAAUACAGAGAAGAUUAGCAAGGCCCCUGCACAAGGAUGACACACAAAUUCAUGAAGUGUUCCAUAUUUGU
Bison bison bison is the source of this 106-nucleotide small nuclear RNA. NCBI's taxonomy places the organism in Eukaryota, Metazoa, Chordata, Mammalia, Artiodactyla, Bovidae. The record is from Ensembl.